RNAcentral lists this long non-coding RNA (606 nucleotides) under Felis catus (domestic cat). RNAcentral's name for it is "lncRNA (ENSFCAG00000045064.2)". Lineage: Eukaryota; Metazoa; Chordata; Mammalia; Carnivora; Felidae. The record is from RNAcentral.
GCUCACGAUGUUUUUCUUUUCCUCUCAGUGGUAAUGAGGGAUUAUUGUUCUUAGCCUUCACACUGUAGUCCUUCUAAAGGCUAGACACGAACGGAGAAAAAUAUCGGUGAGAAGAAUAAAGAUGUGUCUAUUUCCCUGCAGCUAAAGAGAGGCAUAUAUAUAUUCCUUGGCAUCCAGAACCACCCACACAAGCAUUUGUGGGGUUUUUUUUCCUUUCUUUUUUUUUUUUAAAAGAAAAGAAUCUUAUUGCAAUCUCUGCAUUAGACUCGGCUACUAAGUUCUGUAAAAGGAAAUCGACCUGUAGCAAAUCUGCUAUUUUAUUGAAGAAUCUUGGUCCUGGUAAUGCUGCCCGGCACCCAGCUCAGAGCCCAGAACACAAAAGGAGUCUGGGAAGGCUCCAGGAGACCAGAAGUCAGAUGCUAACCCCACAGACCUUGACAGCAGCCUCCAUGUGCCGCAAUGUCCAUUCAUCAAGAACUCACUUUGCUAUUAUUUUCUUCUCUUAAUUCCCCACGUGUUAAUGAGAAACACUUCAGGUAGGUGCUCCAUAAACAAGCGAUUACUAAAAAGGCAUUUAAAGGUCUGCUCCAUUACUGUCUCUGAUAU